Molecule: unclassified non-coding RNA, 354 nt
Filed under: soil metagenome
Description: partial contains 5.8S ribosomal RNA, internal transcribed spacer 2, and large subunit ribosomal RNA
Rfam family: 5.8S ribosomal RNA (bases 1-120)
Source: RNAcentral
GAUGAAGAACGCAGCGAAAUGCGAUAAGUAAUGUGAAUUGCAGAAUUCAGUGAAUCAUCGAAUCUUUGAACGCACAUUGCGCCCGCCAGUAUUCUGGCGGGCAUGCCUGUCCGAGCGUCAUUUCAACCCUCGAACCCCUCCGGGGGGUCGGCGUUGGGGAUCGGCCCUGCCUCUUGGCGGUGGCCGUCUCCGAAAUACAGUGGCGGUCUCGCCGCAGCCUCUCCUGCGCAGUAGUUUGCACACUCGCAUCGGGAGCGCGGCGCGUCCACAGCCGUUAAACACCCAACUUCUGAAAUGUUGACCUCGGAUCAGGUAGGAAUACCCGCUGAACUUAAGCAUAUCAAAAGCGGAGGA